ACGACACUAACAAUCCUUCGGGUGCGUUAAUGGGCGUCGAGCGGCGGACGGGUGAGUAAUGCCUAGGAAAUUGCCUUGAUGUGGGGGAUAACCAUUGGAAACGAUGGCUAAUACCGCAUAAUGCCUACGGGCCAAAGAGGGGGACCUUCGGGCCUCUCGCGUCAAGAUAUGCCUAGGUGGGAUUAGCUAGUUGGUGAGGUAAUGGCUCACCAAGGCGACGAUCCCUAGCUGGUCUGAGAGGAUGAUCAGCCACACUGGAACUGAGACACGGUCCAGACUCCUACGGGAGGCAGCAGUGGGGAAUAUUGCACAAUGGGCGAAAGCCUGAUGCAGCCAUGCCGCGUGUAUGAAGAAGGCCUUCGGGUUGUAAAGUACUUUCAGUUGUGAGGAAGGGGGUAGUGUUAAUAGCGCUAUCUCUUGACGUUAGCAACAGAAGAAGCACCGGCUAACUCCGUGCCAGCAGCCGCGGUAAUACGGAGGGUGCGAGCGUUAAUCGGAAUUACUGGGCGUAAAGCGCAUGCAGGUGGUUCAUUAAGUCAGAUGUGAAAGCCCGGGGCUCAACCUCGGAACGGCAUUUGAAACUGGUGAACUAGAGUACUGUAGAGGGGGGUAGAAUUUCAGGUGUAGCGGUGAAAUGCGUAGA
Molecule: ribosomal RNA, 643 nt
Filed under: Vibrio sp. AU167_Ted2_R2A
Lineage: Bacteria; Pseudomonadati; Pseudomonadota; Gammaproteobacteria; Vibrionales; Vibrionaceae
Description: bacterial SSU rRNA
Rfam family: Bacterial small subunit ribosomal RNA
Source: RNAcentral